This 74-nucleotide transfer RNA is filed under the name Nephila pilipes (giant wood spider). It matches the Rfam family "tRNA". From Rfam's summary of the family: Transfer RNA (tRNA) molecules are approximately 80 nucleotides in length. Their secondary structure includes four short double-helical elements and three loops (D, anti-codon, and T loops). Lineage: Eukaryota; Metazoa; Arthropoda; Arachnida; Araneae; Nephilidae. The record is from Rfam by way of RNAcentral.
GGCUCGUUAGCUCAGUUGGUUAGAGCUUCGUGCUAAUAACGCGAAGGUCGCUGGUUCGAUCCCUUCACGGGCCA